AGGGUAAUAGCUCAGUGGUAGAGUGCCUGCUUAGCAUGCACAAGGUCCUGGGUUCAAUCCCCAGUACCUCCA
Molecule: transfer RNA, 72 nt
Organism: Camelus ferus (Wild Bactrian camel)
Lineage: Eukaryota; Metazoa; Chordata; Mammalia; Artiodactyla; Camelidae
Rfam family: tRNA
About the family: Transfer RNA (tRNA) molecules are approximately 80 nucleotides in length. Their secondary structure includes four short double-helical elements and three loops (D, anti-codon, and T loops). Further hydrogen bonds mediate the characteristic L-shaped molecular structure. tRNAs have two regions of fundamental functional importance: the anti-codon, which is responsible for specific mRNA codon recognition, and the 3' end, to which the tRNAs corresponding amino acid is attached (by aminoacyl-tRNA synthetases). tRNAs cope with the degeneracy of the genetic code in two manners: having more than one tRNA (with a specific anti-codon) for a particular amino acid; and 'wobble' base-pairing, i.e. permitting non-standard base-pairing at the 3rd anti-codon position.
Source: Rfam